Xenopus laevis (African clawed frog) is the source of this 2107-nucleotide long non-coding RNA. RefSeq lists it as uncharacterized. The transcript has 5 exons. The record is from RefSeq and is a predicted model, not a curated record. Lineage: Eukaryota; Metazoa; Chordata; Amphibia; Anura; Pipidae.
CCCUGCCUGCGAUUGCCUCAGUCUGCAGAGAGGGAGCCGGAAGAGGAGUAGAGUGGUGCGUCACACGCAGUUGUCUCGCUUGUCUGUAGCUGCUGCUCAAGUUCAGCAAAUCCUCCUGAUGUCGGCGCUUGUUGUACCCAGCUGUCACACUCGCACAUCAUGACGCUGCCCGGCCCCAGGCUCUCCAGGAAUCCACCAGGCACCUUCACUGAAUCUAGCUUCGGUUUACAGACUUGAUGCAAGAGAGAGUGGAGCUGAAGGAGCAUGUAGAAGAGCUGGAGCAUCGAUGUAUUCAGCUGUCAGGAGAAACACACUAUUGGUGAAUACAUUGCACUUUAUCAGAACCAGAGAGCCAUACUGAAGCAGCGUCACAAGGAAAUGGAGGAGUACAUUAGCUGACUGGCUCAGGACAAAGAGGAGAUGAAGGCUAAGCUGCUAGAAUUGCAAGUUUUGGUCAUGCGACUGGUAACUGAGCACAAUGAAUGGUACAGGAGGUACAGGAGGUACAGGCAACCCAGGGUCCCCAGACAGGGUCAGAAGAGUUCCCAGCAGAAAACCCUAUGGAACUUGAAGGAAAAGAGAAUGGAGCCCUGGAGGAAGUCGGCUUAGAAGAGGAUGGGAGACGGGAAGUACAGUCAUUGCUUCAUUUGGCAGCUCCUCAGGAACGACUAAACCCCUGGAUCAGAAGACCCAACCACUAAACAAAUUAUGCAUGAGAUACAGAUUCCCCAGGAAUGGCCUGGUGCCCUGCUGCAGAAUCCAUGCAUCCCCUUUUUCUACCGUGCUGACUAAAAUGACUAGGUCCGAAUUAUGGUGAUUUGAGGGAGAAGUUGACAGAUGCAUCCCUCCUUUUCCCAUGCCAACGCCUGCUUGUGCUGGGAUUCAUUUUCUCCAAGGACACAUUAGAAACCAUUGCUUUGGGAUGGGGGAGUGCUGGAGAUUGGCAAUUAAUGGGAUGGAUGUGGAGAACUGUUGCCUUUCUGUACUGAAUUUUGGGUCCCAUAGUGAAGUAUUGUAUUCCACCCAAGGGAACCCCUGUAUUGCACAGGCCAAUGGGUUAUACCAUUCAGUGCAGAUUUGUUUCCACACUAGUUUAAAGCUGCUAUUUUCACCUGCUACCUUUGGGGGAGGGGGCUCAACCCCAUCCACUUGAAUAGUCAGUCUUAUUUCUGGAUUUUUACAUAUCUGAAGCACUAAUGUUUGAUAUGAUGUUGACCACAAGAAGAAUGGUGGUUUAGAAAUGAGGUGGAAGGUUAUACUGUUAGGGGAAGGCUGUUCAGGCAGAACAAAAGAGAUAUGACCAUGUUGAUUGUUCUCUGUUCAUUCUCAGAUAAUAAGUAAUCCUUUGGGGAAAAAUGUGUUAUUCUAGAACUUUGGGUAAAGGCAGGUGAUUGACGUUGCUUGUAAGUAUGCAGUCCAAGGAAUCUCUUCUCUUGCAUUGCGUUGAUCUCAUACACAUGGGAAGAGUUUUUUUUAACAGCUGCAAAAGUUAAGGAUUAAGGAUUUUUUAGCUCAAAAUGGUCAAUGAAAGAUAUAAGUUAAAGUGCAGAUUGUUAUAGAAGUUGUAUCCAACCUCAAGUCUUUCUAGGGGAAAUUCCUGAAUGAAACUGAUAUAUCUACGGUCGACUGAACCCAGUACAUUGUCGGACACAUUGUGCAGCUCUGCAGCCUGAACUGGUAUCAUUACAAUCAGUCCGGCUUCAUACAAGGCAUAUGGAGGUUGUUUUUAAAUAAGGAGUAGCAGAAGACUUAGACCUAAGCAGUGGAUAAAAAUGAUAUACUGACGAGCAUUACAUGAGCAGAAGCAUAUUUAUUUUAUAUUUGAAAGUAGUACACAUUGAGGUUUUGAGGAAUUUGCACCUUGCCCUUCUCUCUGCUUAAAGGGCCAUAUGACCGUGCACAAUGUCUCAGUGUCCUGGUUAAUUUUUCACUUUAACUUUUUUAGAUUUCAUGAUGUUGGCAGUUUUUUAAUUCAUGCAUAUAACUUGAAUGUGUAACUUUUUGUGCCUCCUGUUGUUUGACCCAUGCAAAACUGCAAAAGCUUAAAGGAUCAGUAACAUCAAUUUUUAAAAAAAAAUAAAAAAUUGGUUAGUAUAGAACGAAAAAA